Molecule: long non-coding RNA, 249 nt
Organism: Amphimedon queenslandica
Lineage: Eukaryota; Metazoa; Porifera; Demospongiae; Haplosclerida; Niphatidae
Exons: 2
Source: RefSeq, a predicted model, not a curated record
GGAGCCUAGGCUAUGCGCUAGUAGGCUCACUAGGCUAGCUGCUAUACUCACCGCUGCUGUGCCUAGCAGUGGCUAUGGCAUCUAAAAAUCAACUGAAUGGAAGAGCUGUUCACCGCACUGUAUCAGUAGGUGAUUCACUCUAUGUGUGGGCUGGUAAACAGGAUGGUUUACCUAAAGUACAUGAUAGUGAAGAGAAGAGAAGGAUCGCUAGUAAUAUACAGCACUUUACUCCUUCAACUGGUCAAUGGA